GCGCCUGUGGCUCAAUUGGAUAGAGCACUAGUCUACGGAACUAGGGGUUAGAAGUUCGAAUCUUCUCAGGCGCG
Molecule: transfer RNA, 74 nt
Filed under: Candidatus Aceula lacicola
Lineage: Bacteria; Pseudomonadati; Candidatus Omnitrophota
Description: tRNA-Arg
Rfam family: tRNA
About the family: Transfer RNA (tRNA) molecules are approximately 80 nucleotides in length. Their secondary structure includes four short double-helical elements and three loops (D, anti-codon, and T loops). Further hydrogen bonds mediate the characteristic L-shaped molecular structure. tRNAs have two regions of fundamental functional importance: the anti-codon, which is responsible for specific mRNA codon recognition, and the 3' end, to which the tRNAs corresponding amino acid is attached (by aminoacyl-tRNA synthetases). tRNAs cope with the degeneracy of the genetic code in two manners: having more than one tRNA (with a specific anti-codon) for a particular amino acid; and 'wobble' base-pairing, i.e. permitting non-standard base-pairing at the 3rd anti-codon position.
Source: RNAcentral